UACGGAGGGUGCAAGCGUUAAUCGGAAUUACUGGGCGUAAAGCGCGCGCAGGCGGUCUAUUAAGUCAGAUGUGAAAGCCCCGGGCUUAACUUGGGAAUUGCAUCGGAAACUGGUUGGCUAGAGUCUUGUAGAGGGGGGUAGAAUUCCAUGUGUAGCGGUGAAAUGCGUAGAUAUUAGGAGGAACACCGGUGGCGAAGGCGGCUUUCUGGGUAUUUACUGACGCUCAGGCGCGAAAGCGUGGGGAGCAAACAGG
RNAcentral lists this ribosomal RNA (253 nucleotides) under uncultured bacterium. Its description in RNAcentral is "partial 16S ribosomal RNA". It matches the Rfam family "Bacterial small subunit ribosomal RNA", at positions 524 to 776 of the family's 1533-position model. The record is from RNAcentral.